Molecule: long non-coding RNA, 2196 nt
Organism: Cylas formicarius (sweet potato weevil)
Lineage: Eukaryota; Metazoa; Arthropoda; Insecta; Coleoptera; Brentidae
Exons: 4
Source: RefSeq, a predicted model, not a curated record
GGGUCGUAGGGAAAUGGACAUCGCACUUCUGUAUUCAUUGCACUGAAUAUAGUCUAUAAUACACAUGCAACGUAUUUAUACACAUGCACUCCCUUCCAUGGUUGAAUUAAAAGUCGAAAGGUCUUCUACCCACAAGCACCAACGCCGAUUUGAAUAGACGCGAUGUUGUCGCCAGACAACCGUGCAGGUAGGAGUCUCAGGGUCAACACGCUUUCACACGGGAACGCAACCGCUUCGGACGUUGGACGAACGUAUGUUGCCGCAAAAGAUCAAGGCCAACUUGCUUUCAUUUUUUACAAUCUCCGUAUGGGAUGUGGAAUUUCAAAACGCGCCGAGUCUAAAUGUCAAGUUGUUUUGCUUGUUGAGAAUAAUAAUUAAUUGCCCGUUUAUAUUUGCUCCGUGGGAUUAACGUAAUGGGAAAAAUUUGUUGCAACGCAUGUGGAGGUGUCUUCGUUUGUUAACUUUUAGAAAGUAUUCUCGCACCGUAUAAAUACAUCUCAUUUUUCUCUGUUUUGUCAGUAGUUGUUUUUGGUAUUAUUCGUGCAACGUGGAAGCUAACUUAGUGGUUUGGUGUUCGUACAAAAAAGCAGUCUUAAAGAUCAUCUUAGUACUCUCAACCCGUAACCGCAAAUAGAAUAGCAGCAAUCUUAAGCAUGGACUUAAGUCAACUGAAUCAAACCUGUCUUGCAGAAGGUGAUUUUGAGCAGCCGAUUGUCAAACUGCAUGAAUUGCCGAUAGGCGUUCCGUUUAAAAUUACUAGAGCCAAAAUUGUUAAUACAAAAUUUGGCAAUUCCGUGUUGCUGCAAUUAGAAAAUUCCGUAGUAUUUCUUCCUACUCGCGUGACAGAAGCUUUCCGUCCGAGACUAGAACACUUUGCGUCGGGGCAGUACAAACUGGUCUACGAGGGAUCCAAAGAUAUUGGAAAGCCCAACUCUUUAAAGAAAUUCAAAAUAAUUCAAAAUUAAUCAACAUAUUAUACAGGAUUAUGGUCAAACAACUUACAUUAGAAAGCCUUUGUAUUAUAAGAAUUUGCGAAAAUAUUAGGUGUAGUGCUGAUUUUUUGCGUGAGUCACCUUUGCCUUGGAAACUAACGAUACUAAUAUUUAAAUAUUAUUCGAAAUAUAGAUGGAGGUACCUUAAACAAUUAGCGCUCCAGUCUGAUGGCAAUUCUUUAUUAAAUUUAGAAUUCAUUCUGUUGAAUAAGAGAUUUGGAUCGUCUUACAGAAAUAGCAUUUUGGCAACUCCAACCAUUGAUUUUGACGGAGAAUCCGCUUACUGUUUAUGGGUCAGUUAUUACAGGAUAAAAUAUUCGGAAAUUUUAGUUUGUAAAUCUUGUCACUUUAUAUUUCAAGUAGUUAAAAAAUUUAAAAAGAAAAAUUUUAGACUUUUAUUGGAUCACUAUCAUUUACAGCUGGAUAUAAAUAAUUUGAAUGAUGUAUAUCACGAUAAACAAUUUUGGUGUCAAAGCUGCUUUGAAGAAGUUUUGUUCACUGUAGAAACUGAAGAUGAAUGUAAUUUAAUGCUUCACAAUGAGAGGAAAUAUGGAAAAAAGUUACGCUUUUCUGAUAGUCCAUUGAACUAUUAAUACUGUGGUUUUAUUAUAAAAUAUGUAACUGUAGAUAAGGCUUUUAUGUAUUGAUUGUAUUCCAUUGUAUUGCAACAAGAAUAAACAUGUAUAUAUUUAGACGCUAUUUUCUUUUUUACCACCACCACAACACCGCAUAAUAAUUACACAGAAGUUUGUAAUUGUAUAAUUUAUUUAUUAUAUACAUUAUUACUAUUUUACAAUUUCGUUAAAUGCUAAAUUAUUAAAUUGUUCUAGUUUUCUUUUGCACUCUUGAGCUUGCAUCCGCGCCACUUGCAAGUCUGUAUUAAAAAGCGCAAUUUGUGUUUCAAUUUCGUUGAUAUUGCACUCUAAUCCCGCCAACUGAGACGCCAAGUUUCUUUUUAAAUUGAAUGCCUCACAAAUGACACUUUUUUCUCUACCGUCCGUGAACACUUCGAGCCAAUCAGCGGAUGACGUUGGAGCUGCAAACGCUUCACUUGUGGUAGUUUUCUUCUUCUUCUUGCGGGAUACGACCGACGCACUUUGUUUUCGUUUUGUCGCAGAUUUUUUGGUUUGUUGCUCUACAGGAACGAAGCUGGACGGGAGCACUUCUGAUGAAGGAAAUUGCAACUCGAAAUUUUCCAAUAAAU